ACCUAAUAGAUACCCUGGUAGUCCACGCCCUAAACGAUGCGAACUGGAUGUUGGGUACAUUACGGUACUCAGUGUCGAAAGCUAAACGCGUUAAGUUCGCCGCCUGGGGAGUACGGUCGCAAGACUGAAACUCAAAGGAAUUGACGGGGGCCCGGCACAAGCGGUGGAGUAUGUGGUUUAAUUCGAUGCAACGCGAAGAACCUUACCUGGCCUUGACAUCUGUCGAAUCCUGCAGAGAUGCGGGAGUGCCGCAAGGAACGACAAGACAGGUGCUGCAUGGCUGUCGUCAGCUCGUGUCGUGAGAUGUUGGGUUAAGUCCCGCAACGAGCGCAACCCUUGUCCUUAGUUGCCAGCACGUAAUGGUGGGAACUCUAAGGAGACUGCCGGUGACAAACCGGAGGAAGGUGGGGAUGACGUCAAGUCCUCAU
This 428-nucleotide ribosomal RNA is filed under the name uncultured bacterium. RNAcentral describes it as "bacterial SSU rRNA". It matches the Rfam family "Bacterial small subunit ribosomal RNA", at positions 771 to 1196 of the family's 1533-position model. The record is from RNAcentral.